Molecule: ribosomal RNA, 468 nt
Filed under: uncultured bacterium
Lineage: Bacteria
Description: partial 16S ribosomal RNA
Rfam family: Bacterial small subunit ribosomal RNA
Source: RNAcentral
GACGAACGCUGGCGGCGUGCUUAACACAUGCAAGUCGAACGGAAAGGCCCUGCUUUUGUGGGGUGCUCGAGUGGCGAACGGGUGAGUAACACGUGAGUAACCUGCCCUGGACGGUGGGAUAACUUGAGGAAACUGGGGCUAAUACCGGAGAGGAGCUCCUGCUGCAUGGUGGGGGUUGGAAAGUUUCGGCUGUUGGGGAUGGACUCGCGGCUUAUCAGCUUGUUGGGGGGGGAGUGGCUUACCAAGGCUUUGACGGGUAGCCGGCCUGAGAGGGUGGCCGGCGACAUUGGGACUGAGAUACGGCCCAGACUCCUACGGGAGACAGCAGUGGGGAAUAUUGCCCAAUGGGCGGAAGCCUGAUGCAGCAACGCCGGGUGCGGGAUGACGGCCUUCGGGUUGUAAACCGCUGUCGCCUGUGACGAAGCGUGAGUGACGGUAAUGGGUAAAGAAGCACCGGCUAACUACGUG